CCUACGGGUGGCAGCAGUGGGGAAUUUUGGACAAUGGGGGCAACCCUGAUCCAGCCAUGCCGCGUGCGGGAAGAAGGCCUUCGGGUUGUAAACCGCUUUUGUCAGGGAAGAAAUCUUCCGAGCUAAUACCUUGGGAGGAUGACGGUACCUGAAGAAUAAGCACCGGCUAACUACGUGCCAGCAGCCGCGGUAAUACGUAGGGUGCAACUGUUAAUCGGACGUACGCGGGCUAAAGCGUGCGACGGCGGUUAAAUCCCCGGGCUUAACCUGGGAACUGCACUUGUGACUGUACGGCUGGAGUACGGCAGAGGGGGAUGGAAUUCCGCGUGUAGCAGUGAAAUGCGUAGAUAUGCGGAGGAACACCGAUGGCGAAGGCAGUCCCCUGGGCCUGUACUGACGCUCAUGCACGAAAGCGUGGGGAGCAAACAGGAUUAGAUACCCUAGUAGUC
Molecule: ribosomal RNA, 449 nt
Filed under: uncultured bacterium
Lineage: Bacteria
Description: partial 16S ribosomal RNA
Rfam family: Bacterial small subunit ribosomal RNA
Source: RNAcentral